Molecule: ribosomal RNA, 458 nt
Filed under: uncultured bacterium
Lineage: Bacteria
Description: partial 16S ribosomal RNA
Rfam family: Bacterial small subunit ribosomal RNA
Source: RNAcentral
CCUACGGGAGGCAGCAGUGAGGAAUAUUGGUCAAUGGGCGAGAGCCUGAACCAGCCAAGUCGCGUGAGGGAGUACUGCCCUAUGGGUUGUAAACCUCUUUUGUCGGGGAGCAAAAGCCGGACGUGUCCGGCUGUGAGAGUACCCGAAGAAAAAGCAUCGGCUAACUCCGUGCCAGCAGCCGCGGUAAUACGGAGGAUGCGAGCGUUAUCCGGAUUUAUUGGGUUUAAAGGGUGCGCAGGCGGAUUUUUAAGUCAGCGGUAAAAUCGUGGGGCUCAACCCCAUCCAGCCGUUGAAACUGGGGAUCUAGAGUGUGCGAGAGGGAUGCGGAAUGCGUGGUGUAGCGGUGACAGGCAUAGAUAUCACGCAGAACCCCGAUUGCGAAGGCAGCAUACCGGUGCACAACUGACGCUCAGGCACGAAAGCGUGGGUAUCGAACAGGAUUAGAUACCCCAGUAGUG